This 224-nucleotide ribosomal RNA is filed under the name uncultured bacterium. RNAcentral's name for it is "partial 16S ribosomal RNA". It matches the Rfam family "Bacterial small subunit ribosomal RNA", at positions 524 to 745 of the family's 1533-position model. The record is from RNAcentral.
UACGUAGGGUGCAAGCGUUAAUCGGAAUUACUGGGCGUAAAGCGUGCGCAGGCGGUUGUGCAAGACCGAUGUGAAAUCCCCGGGCUCAACCUGGGAAUGGCAUUGGUGACUGUACGGCUAGAGUGUGUCAGAGGGGGGUAGAAUUCCACGUGUAGCAGUGAAAUGCGUAGAGAUGUGGAGGAAUACCGAUGGCGAAGGCAGCCCCCCUGGGAUAACGACUGACG